GACGAACGCUGACGGUGUGCUUUAGGCAUGCAAGUCGAACGAGAAAGCCCUCGGGUGAGUAGAGUGGCGAACGGGUGAGUAACACGUGGAUAACCUGUCCCUCGCAGGGGGAUAACCGGGGGAAACCCCGGCUAAUACCCCGAUACGUUUCUCAGGGGGCAUCCCCUGAGAAAGAAGGUAGCUUCGGCCAUCCGGGCGAGGGAGGGUCCG
This 210-nucleotide ribosomal RNA is filed under the name uncultured bacterium. RNAcentral describes it as "partial 16S ribosomal RNA". It matches the Rfam family "Bacterial small subunit ribosomal RNA", at positions 28 to 233 of the family's 1533-position model. The record is from RNAcentral.